CAGCAGCCGCGGUAAUUCGUAGGUCCCGAGCGUUGUCCGGAUUUAUUGGGCGUAAAGCGAGCGCAGGCGGUUUGAUAAGUCUGAGGUUAAAGGCUGUGGCUCAACCAUAGUUCGCUUUGGAAACUGUCAAACUUGAGUGCAGAAGGGGAGAGUGGAAUUCCAUGUGUAGCGGUGAAAUGCGUAGAUAUAUGGAGGAACACCGGUGGCGAAAGCGGCUCUCUGGUCUGUAACUGACGCUGAGGCUCGAAAGCGUGGGGAGCGAACAGGAUUAGAUACCCCUGUAGUCCCUGUCUCUUAUACC
RNAcentral lists this ribosomal RNA (301 nucleotides) under uncultured bacterium. Its description in RNAcentral is "partial 16S ribosomal RNA". It matches the Rfam family "Bacterial small subunit ribosomal RNA", at positions 509 to 808 of the family's 1533-position model. The record is from RNAcentral.